UGCACACAGGACUGUGAGUCACUUUGGGUAAAAGUGUCUGCUAAAUUGCAUUUA
Molecule: non-coding RNA, 54 nt
Organism: Salmo salar (Atlantic salmon)
Lineage: Eukaryota; Metazoa; Chordata; Actinopteri; Salmoniformes; Salmonidae
Source: Rfam